GUCCCGCCUGAGUUGGAAGUGGGAUCCUGACACGUGAGGACUUUGGCCAGUGCCAGAUCUAACUCUUCCAGCUCACGUGAGGU
This 83-nucleotide microRNA precursor is filed under the name Haemaphysalis longicornis (longhorned tick). Its description in RNAcentral is "mir-750 microRNA precursor family". It matches the Rfam family "mir-750 microRNA precursor family". The record is from Rfam by way of RNAcentral. Lineage: Eukaryota; Metazoa; Arthropoda; Arachnida; Ixodida; Ixodidae.